CAGGCUUAACACAUGCAAGUCGAGGGGCAGCAUGGUCUUAGCUUGCUAAGGCCGAUGGCGACCGGCGCACGGGUGAGUAACACGUAUCCAACCUGCCGUCUACUCUUGGACAGCCUUCUGAAAGGAAGAUUAAUACAAGAUGGCAUCAUGAGUCCGCAUGUUUACAUGAUUAAAGGUAUUCCGGUAGACGAUGGGGAUGCGUUCCAUUAGAUAGUAGGCGGGGUAACGGCCCACCUAGUCUUCGAUGGAUAGGGGUUCUGAGAGGAAGGUCCCCCACAUUGGAACUGAGACACGGUCCAAACUCCUACGGGAGGCAGCAGUGAGGAAUAUUGGUCAAUGGGCGAGAGCCUGAACCAGCCAAGUAGCGUGAAGGAUGACUGCCCUAUGGGUUGUAAACUUCUUUUAUAAAGGAAUAAAGUCGGGUAUGGAUACCCGUUUGCAUGUACUUUAUGAAUAAGGAUCGGCUAACUCCGUGCCAGCAGCCGCGGUAAUACGGAGGAUCCGAGCGUUAUCCGGAUUUAUUGGGUUUAAAGGGAGCGUAGAUGGAUGUUUAAGUCAGUUGUGAAAGUUUGCGGCUCAACCGUAAAAUUGCAGUUGAUACUGGAUAUCUUGAGUGCAGUUGAGGCAGGCGGAAUUCGUGGUGUAGCGGUGAAAUGCUUAGAUAUCACGAAGAACUCCGAUUGCGAAGGCAGCCUGCUAAGCUGCAACUGACAUUGAGGCUCGAAAGUGUGGGUAUCAAACAGGAUUAGAUACCCUGGUAGUCCACACGGUAAACGAUGAAUACUCGCUGUUUGCGAUAUACUGCAAGCGGCCAAGCGAAAGCGUUAAGUAUUCCACCUGGGGAGUACGCCGGCAACGGUGAAACUCAAAGGAAUUGACGGGGGCCCGCACAAGCGGAGGAACAUGUGGUUUAAUUCGAUGAUACGCGAGGAACCUUACCCGGGCUUAAAUUGCAGAUGAAUUACGGUGAAAGCCGUAAGCCGCAAGGCAUCUGUGAAGGUGCUGCAUGGUUGUCGUCAGCUCGUGCCGUGAGGUGUCGGCUUAAGUGCCAUAACGAGCGCAACCCUUGUUGUCAGUUACUAACAGGUUCCGCUGAGGACUCUGACAAGACUGCCAUCGUAAGAUGUGAGGAAGGUGGGGAUGACGUCAAAUCAGCACGGCCCUUACGUCCGGGGCUACACACGUGUUACAAUGGGGGGUACAGAGGGCCGCUACCACGCGAGUGGAUGCCAAUCCCCAAAACCUCUCUCAGUUCGGACUGGAGUCUGCAACCCGACUCCACGAAGCUGGAUUCGCUAGUAAUCGCGCAUCAGCCACGGCGCGGUGAAUACGUUCCCGGGCCUUGUACACACCGCCCGUCAAGCCAUGGGAGCCGGGGGUACCUGAAGUGCGUAACCGCGAGGAGCGCCCUAGGGUAAAACUGGUGACUGGGGC
This 1434-nucleotide ribosomal RNA is filed under the name uncultured organism. RNAcentral describes it as "16S ribosomal RNA". It matches the Rfam family "Bacterial small subunit ribosomal RNA". The record is from RNAcentral.